RNAcentral lists this unclassified non-coding RNA (395 nucleotides) under soil metagenome. RNAcentral describes it as "partial contains 5.8S ribosomal RNA, internal transcribed spacer 2, and large subunit ribosomal RNA". The stretch from base 1 to 120 matches the Rfam family "5.8S ribosomal RNA", at positions 35 to 154 of the family's 154-position model. The record is from RNAcentral.
GAUGAAGAACGUAGCGAAAUGCGAUAAGAAAUGUGAAUUGCAGAAUUCAGGGAAUCAUCGAAUCUUUGAACGCACCUUGCGCCUUUUGGUAUUCCGAAAGGCACACCUGUUUGAGCGUCAUGAAUACCUCAAUCUCCAUCUUUUCUUCGGAUUGAUGGGUGACUUGGAUGUUGAGCCCUGCUGGUUUGCUAUAUCAGCUGGCUUUAAACUUAUUAGCCGGCUCUGUACUGGAUCGGUUUGACUCGACGUGAUAAUAUUAUCGUUGAGGAUGCAUGUCUCAUGCAGCCGGAAAGUAUCAAAGCAGCUUCUAGCUUGCCUUUAGUGCACUUUUACAUUUUAGACCUCAGAUCAGGUGGGACUACCCGCUGAACUUAAGCAUAUCAAUAAGCGGAGGA